This 325-nucleotide ribosomal RNA is filed under the name uncultured bacterium. Its description in RNAcentral is "bacterial SSU rRNA". It matches the Rfam family "Bacterial small subunit ribosomal RNA", at positions 28 to 334 of the family's 1533-position model. The record is from RNAcentral.
GAUGAACGCUGGCGGCGUGCUUAACACAUGCAAGUCGAACGAGAAUCAACGGAUUGAGGAUUCGUCCAAAUGAAGUUGAGGAAAGUGGCGGACGGGUGAGUAACGCGUGAGGAACCUGCCUCGGAGUGGGGAAUAACAGUUGGAAACGACUGCUAAUACCGCAUAAGACCACAGAGCCGCAUGGCUCAGGGGUCAAAGGAGAAAUCCGCUGAAGGAUGGCCUCGCGUCCGAUUAGCUAGAUGGCGGGGUAACGGCCCACCAUGGCGACGAUCGGUAGCCGGACUGAGAGGUUGAUCGGCCACAUUGGGACUGAGACACGGCCCAG